RNAcentral lists this ribosomal RNA (2519 nucleotides) under Yersinia pestis. RNAcentral describes it as "bacterial LSU rRNA". It matches the Rfam family "Bacterial large subunit ribosomal RNA", at positions 1 to 2533 of the family's 2925-position model. Lineage: Bacteria; Pseudomonadati; Pseudomonadota; Gammaproteobacteria; Enterobacterales; Yersiniaceae. The record is from RNAcentral.
GGGUUGUGAGGUUAAGCGACUAAGCGUACACGGUGGAUGCCUAGGCAGUCAGAGGCGAUGAAGGGCGUGCUAAUCUGCGAAAAGCGUCGGUAAGCUGAUAUGAAGCGUUAUAACCGACGAUACCCGAAUGGGGAAACCCAGUGCAAUACGUUGCACUAUCGUUAGAUGAAUACAUAGUCUAACGAGGCGAACCGGGGGAACUGAAACAUCUAAGUACCCCGAGGAAAAGAAAUCAACCGAGAUUCCCCCAGUAGCGGCGAGCGAACGGGGAGGAGCCCAGAGUCUGAAUCAGUUUGUGUGUUAGUGGAAGCGUCUGGAAAGUCGCACGGUACAGGGUGAUAGUCCCGUACACCAAAAUGCACAGGCUGUGAACUCGAUGAGUAGGGCGGGACACGUGACAUCCUGUCUGAAUAUGGGGGGACCAUCCUCCAAGGCUAAAUACUCCUGACUGACCGAUAGUGAACCAGUACCGUGAGGGAAAGGCGAAAAGAACCCCGGCGAGGGGAGUGAAAUAGAACCUGAAACCGUGUACGUACAAGCAGUGGGAGCACCUUCGUGGUGUGACUGCGUACCUUUUGUAUAAUGGGUCAGCGACUUAUAUUUUGUAGCAAGGUUAACCGAAUAGGGGAGCCGUAGGGAAACCGAGUCUUAACUGGGCGUCUAGUUGCAAGGUAUAGACCCGAAACCCGGUGAUCUAGCCAUGGGCAGGUUGAAGGUUGGGUAACACUAACUGGAGGACCGAACCGACUAAUGUUGAAAAAUUAGCGGAUGACUUGUGGCUGGGGGUGAAAGGCCAAUCAAACCGGGAGAUAGCUGGUUCUCCCCGAAAGCUAUUUAGGUAGCGCCUCGUGAACUCAUCUUCGGGGGUAGAGCACUGUUUCGGCUAGGGGGCCAUCCCGGCUUACCAAACCGAUGCAAACUCCGAAUACCGAAGAAUGUUAUCACGGGAGACACACGGCGGGUGCUAACGUCCGUCGUGAAGAGGGAAACAACCCAGACCGCCAGCUAAGGUCCCAAAGUCAUGGUUAAGUGGGAAACGAUGUGGGAAGGCACAGACAGCCAGGAUGUUGGCUUAGAAGCAGCCAUCAUUUAAAGAAAGCGUAAUAGCUCACUGGUCGAGUCGGCCUGCGCGGAAGAUGUAACGGGGCUAAACCAUGCACCGAAGCUGCGGCAGCGACACUUAGGUGUUGUUGGGUAGGGGAGCGUUCUGUAAGCCGUUGAAGGUGACCUGUGAGGGUUGCUGGAGGUAUCAGAAGUGCGAAUGCUGACAUAAGUAACGAUAAUGCGGGUGAAAAACCCGCACGCCGGAAGACCAAGGGUUCCUGUCCAACGUUAAUCGGGGCAGGGUGAGUCGACCCCUAAGGCGAGGCUGAAAAGCGUAGUCGAUGGGAAACAGGUUAAUAUUCCUGUACUUGGUGUUACUGCGAAGGGGGGACGGAGAAGGCUAGGCUGGCCGGGCGACGGUUGUCCCGGUUUAAGCGUGUAGGGGGAGUGACCAGGUAAAUCCGGUUGCUUAUCAACCCUGAGGCGUGAUGACGAUGCACCACGGUGCAGAAGCAGUUGAUGCCAUGCUUCCAGGAAAAGCCUCUAAGCAUCAGGUAACAUUAAAUCGUACCCCAAACCGACACAGGUGGUCAGGUAGAGAAUACUCAGGCGCUUGAGAGAACUCGGGUGAAGGAACUAGGCAAAAUGGUGCCGUAACUUCGGGAGAAGGCACGCUGGCGUUAGGUGAAAGGACUAGCUCCUGGAGCUGAAGCCAGUCGCAGAUACCAGCUGGCUGCAACUGUUUAAUAAAAACACAGCACUGUGCAAACACGAAAGUGGACGUAUACAGUGUGACGCCUGCCCGGUGCUGGAAGGUUAAUUGAUGGGGUCAGCCGCAAGGCGAAGCUCUUGAUCGAAGCCCCAGUAAACGGCGGCCGUAACUAUAACGGUCCUAAGGUAGCGAAAUUCCUUGUCGGGUAAGUUCCGACCUGCACGAAUGGCGUAAUGAUGGCCAGGCUGUCUCCACCCGAGACUCAGUGAAAUUGAACUCGCUGUGAAGAUGCAGUGUACCCGCGGCAAGACGGAAAGACCCCGUGAACCUUUACUAUAGCUUGACACUGAACAUUGAGCCUUGAUGUGUAGGAUAGGUGGGAGGCCUUGAAGUGUGGACGCCAGUCUGCAUGGAGCCAACCUUGAAAUACCACCCUUUAAUGUUUGAUGUUCUAACUCGGCCCCAUGAUCUGGGGUGAGGACAGUGUCUGGUGGGUAGUUUGACUGGGGCGGUCUCCUCCCAAAGAGUAACGGAGGAGCACGAAGGUUAGCUAAUCACGGUCGGACAUCGUGAGGUUAGUGCAAAGGCAUAAGCUAGCUUGACUGCGAGAGUGACGGCUCGAGCAGGUACGAAAGUAGGUCUUAGUGAUCCGGUGGUUCUGAAUGGAAGGGCCAUCGCUCAACGGAUAAAAGGUACUCCGGGGAUAACAGGCUGAUACCGCCCAAGAGUUCAUAUCGACGGCGGUGUUUGGCACCUCGAUGUC